AUUGAACGCUGGCGGCAGGCCUAACACAUGCAAGUCGAACGGUAACAGGAAACGGCUUGCUGUUUCGCUGACGAGUGGCGGACGGGUGAGUAAUGUCUGGGAAACUGCCUGAUGGAGGGGGAUAACUACUGGAAACGGUAGCUAAUACCGCAUAACGUCGCAAGACCAAAGAGGGGGACCUUCGGGCCUCUUGCCAUCGGAUGUGCCCAGAUGGGAUUAGCUAGUAGGUGGGGUAACGGCUCACCUAGGCGACGAUCCCUAGCUGGUCUGAGAGGAUGACCAGCCACACUGGAACUGAGACACGGUCCAGACUCCUACGGGAGGCAGCAGUGGGGAAUAUUGCACAAUGGGCGCAAGCCUGAUGCAGCCAUGCCGCGUGUAUGAAGAAGGCCUUCGGGUUGUAAAGUACUUUCAGCGGGGAGGAAGGGAGUAAAGUUAAUACCUUUGCUCAUUGACGUUACCCGCAGAAGAAGCACCGGCUAACUCCGUG
This 490-nucleotide ribosomal RNA is filed under the name uncultured bacterium. RNAcentral's name for it is "partial 16S ribosomal RNA". It matches the Rfam family "Bacterial small subunit ribosomal RNA", at positions 30 to 507 of the family's 1533-position model. The record is from RNAcentral.